This 305-nucleotide ribosomal RNA is filed under the name uncultured bacterium. Its description in RNAcentral is "bacterial SSU rRNA". It matches the Rfam family "Bacterial small subunit ribosomal RNA", at positions 334 to 636 of the family's 1533-position model. The record is from RNAcentral.
UUUUCCUACGGGGCGCAGCAGUGAGGAAUAUUGGUCAAUGGGCGGAAGCCUGAACCAGCCAAGUCGCGUGAGGGAAUAAGGCCCUACGGGUCGUAAACCUCUUUUGCCGGGGAGCAAGGGCGGGGACGUGUCCCGGCCCGGAGAGUACCCGGAGAAAAAGCAUCGGCUAACUCCGUGCCAGCAGCCGCGGUAAUACGGAGGAUGCGAGCGUUAUCCGGAUUUAUUGGGUUUAAGGGGUGCGCAGGCGGAAUGUCAAGUCAGCGGUAAAAUUUCGGGGCUCAACCCCGUCGUGCCGUUGAAACUGG